This is a long non-coding RNA of Cyprinus carpio (common carp), 201 nucleotides long. RefSeq lists it as uncharacterized. Lineage: Eukaryota; Metazoa; Chordata; Actinopteri; Cypriniformes; Cyprinidae. The transcript has 3 exons. The record is from RefSeq and is a predicted model, not a curated record.
AGAUUUAUGGGGAUUUGUCAUUUGGAUUGCCAUUGUUUCCAUCAGCAUGGUUUUUAUCAUCCUUUUCCUGUUUAUACCACCUUGUCACAAUUAUUGUGCUGCUUGCAACGGGAGACACAAGACUUCCAGAAAAUGACAGUCGAUUCUAAAUCCCAGCUUUACUGAAGCAACUGGAGCUCUUAAACUAUCUGUGCCUUCAUA